AGUGAACGCUGGCGGUAGGCCUAACACAUGCAAGUCGAACGGCAGCACAGUAAGAGCUUGCUCUUACGGGUGGCGAGUGGCGGACGGGUGAGGAAUACAUCGGAAUCUACUUUUUCGUGGGGGAUAACGUAGGGAAACUUACGCUAAUACCGCAUACGACCUACGGGUGAAAGCAGGGGAUCUUCGGACCUUGCGCGAUUGAAUGAGCCGAUGUCGGAUUAGCUAGUUGGCGGGGUAAAGGCCCACCAAGGCGACGAUCCGUAUCUGGUAUGAGAGGAUGAUCAGACACCCUGGAACUGAGACACGGCCCAGACUCCUACGGGAGGCAGCAGUGGGGAAUAUUGGGCAAUGGGCGCAAGCCUGAUCCAGCCAUACCGCGUGAGUGAAGAAGGCCUUCGGCUUGUAAAGCCAUUUUGUUGGGAAAGAAAAGCAGCAGGUUAAUACCCCGCUGUUCUGACGGUACCCAAAGAAUAAGCACCGGCUAACUUCGUG
This 492-nucleotide ribosomal RNA is filed under the name uncultured bacterium. RNAcentral describes it as "partial 16S ribosomal RNA". It matches the Rfam family "Bacterial small subunit ribosomal RNA", at positions 29 to 507 of the family's 1533-position model. The record is from RNAcentral.